Molecule: ribosomal RNA, 842 nt
Filed under: uncultured marine bacterium
Lineage: Bacteria
Description: bacterial SSU rRNA
Rfam family: Bacterial small subunit ribosomal RNA
Source: RNAcentral
GCAAGUCGAACGAAGUAGCAAUACUUAGUGGCAGACGGGUGAGUAACAUGUGGGUAUCUUCCCUUUGGCCUGGAAUAACACGAGGAAACUUGUGCUAAUACUGGAUAAGUCUUUACGGAGAAAGCUUUAUGCACCAUUGGAUGAGCCUGCACUUGAUUAGUUUGUUGGUGGGGUAAUGGCCUACCAAGACUUUGAUCAAUAGCUGAUUUGAGAGGAUGAUCAGCCACAUUGGGACUGAGACACGGCCCAAACUCCUACGGGAGGCAGCAGUGGGGAAUCUUGCACAAUGGAGGAAACUCUGAUGCAGCGAUGCCGCGUGAGUGAAGAAGGCCUUUGGGUUGUAAAGCUCUUUCGUCGGGGAAGAAAAUGACUGUACCCGAAUAAGAAGGUCCGGCUAACUUCGUGCCAGCAGCCGCGGUAAUACGAAGGGACCUAGCGUAGUUCGGGAUUACUGGGCUUAAAGAGUUCGUAGGUUGUUGAAAAAGUUGGUGGUGAAAUCCCAAAGCUUAACUCUGGAACUGCCAUCAAAACUUUUCGGCUAGAGUUUGAUAGAGGAAAGCAGAAUUUCUAGUGUAGAGGUGAGAUUCGUAGAUAUUAGAAAGAAUACCAAUUGCGAAGGCAGCUUUCUGGAUCAUUACUGACACUGAGGAACGAAAGCAUGGGUAGCGAAGAGGAUUAGAUACCCUCGUAGUCCAUGCCGUAAACGAUGUGUGUUAGACGUUGGAAAUUUAUUUUCAGUGUCGCAGCGAAAGCGAUAAACACACCGCCUGGGGAGUACGACCGCAAGGUUAAAACUCAAAUGAAUUGACGGGGACCCGCACAAGUAGUGGAGCAUGUGGUUU